AGGAAUCACAAAUGGCAGCAGUGGGGAAGGAGGGAAGAGGUCAUGGAGCACGGUUUGGCCCCAUCCUGGCUCCUGGGAUGAACCAGUGUGGAAUCCCCAUGGGAAACAGAAGAAAUGGCUGGUAGGGCAUCGUGCGUCUGCAGCCAGAGCCGCUCCUGGAGGACGAGGAUGACGAGGGUUGACGGCGAUGAGCCGUGAUGGCGCGGGAAAGCUUUGGCAUUGUGCAGCGGGAGCGAUGGGAAAGGCUGGCCAAGGGAGGCACCGCUUUCUGCAACAGCCUUCAAAGAGUUUCCUUAAGUGUUGCUGCUCUUCAGGGCUUCCUCCUCCAAGGAAAAAAAAAAAAGUAGGGAAAAAAGGAGAUGAGGAAGAGCAAUCUCUGGGUGCGGGAUGAAAGCGGCCUGUCUUGACUAUUUACCCAGCAAUUAUAAGUAAAUCGGUGGUGCCUAACGGGGCCGGUUGCCAUAGUGACGAUGGGAUGGAAGGACCAGCAUUUGGUCCUGGCUGCAGCCAAUCAGGCUGGGAAGCCCAAGCUGCAAUAUAAAGUAAAGAUUCCCAUCUUCCAGCCACGCACUUGCCAAGAAAGGGAAAUAGGUUCAAGAGUCUGGGGAAAAAAAGUGCUGCGGCCGGCAGCGAGCAGGGCGGCUGCUCCCGUCAUGGCGGACUGCGAAUGCCCGGGCAGAGCGGCACUUCUGGGAUGCAUGUGGACGGCAUCCCACCCCUGGCACCCCGAGAGGAGCAGCGAGCCUGGUGUUCUGGAGCAUGGAGAGGCAGGAGUGCAGGGCACAGGCCCGGGCUGGACCCCAAAGGUGGGUGCAGGAAGGUGUGUGGGGUGUCCCUGGGGGGUGCUCACCUUCACUGGCUGGGGAUGAGGAGCACUGGCCAUUGGUGCUGCUGGCUGAGCUCCUGUGCCAGUGCUUUUGGUAGAGAAGGUUGAUCAAAACCAGGACAGCUGUAGGGAUGUGGCAGGGAUCUGUCAGAGUCCUGGAUGUGGCAGGAUCUCAGAUCUAACAGGGGUCCAUGAGGGUCUCUUUGCUCUGCCAGAUAUGGGAACCUUUCCCCAAAAGCAGCAGAGGCCAGGUGGGGAGGGCUGGGGGACCCACCAAGGGCCUGGCACCCCUAUCAGUUCAUACACUUCUAUGCCACAGCCCUGAGCUGGGACAGGAGCCCAGGGCUUAUCUGGGGUGGGACAGGAGUGAGAAGAAAAGCCCAUGUGAACGAACUGGGCUUUGCCCAGCCAGGGCAGAGGAACAUUAGCUGAUAUGGUCACUGGCUGUUACUGGGACUAUGAAUGUGCAAACCAGGCAGAGGAGAGUGGCCAUGGGCUGCUGUGACUCUCCCUGGGCUGGUUGGAAAGGAGGAGAAGGAGGAGGACGGGGAAAGCUUUGACCAAAACUUCAGUCCUGAGCCCAAAACAUGAGGCUAGAGGUGGCUGACAGCCAGAAUGGAGCUGGAGUGAUCUGAGGGCUGGUGGUAGUGAGGUCACAGAAGUGUGGGAAGACAAAUAAAAGUCCAUGUCAAGCUCCUCUGUGAGGAGGG
Molecule: long non-coding RNA, 1536 nt
Filed under: Cyanistes caeruleus (blue tit)
Lineage: Eukaryota; Metazoa; Chordata; Aves; Passeriformes; Paridae
Description: lncRNA (ENSCCEG00000008400.1)
Source: RNAcentral